AAAAAAACAUUAUCCUGAUCCCUCAUCCCACAGUUUCAAGGUCUGAAAUAUCUACUUCUGUCUCCUCUUGCAGACACGAGAAAUAAUACAGCCAAGGAAAUGCCUGAAAGCCUUUUUCUCAUGCAUGGAUCUAGGCUAAUUGAACAGGGCAAAGGUUCCACUUUUAAGCAAUCAUGUGCCUGAAAAGACACCACCCCCCAGACAGAAAUGACUUCAGUGUGUUCCAUUCUGCACAUGAUGGACAUCAAUGAUUUUUUUUCCUCAAAUAAUACUUAAUGUUGGCACACUGAUUCUGGCUGUAUGAGAAAAGGAAUGAAUACAGAGGGACUGCUGAGAAGAAGGAGGGAUGAACAGUGAGUGUUCUUCCAAAGUGCUUCCAGGUUCUGUACUCCUUUGGCAUGAGAGCUGGCUGAAGAGUGCCCAGGGUCCAGAGCUGGAGUAUGGUCAUCCAGCUCCCAGCCUGACUUGUACAACAGCCACGGAGACAUCUUCAGACCAAUCUGGUUUGCUGGGAAAGUGUGGAGGUAUGAGCAACUUUUCUAGGAUAAAGACAGGAAUGUUUCAAGUUGCUGUUGAAACAAUAGUAAACUGCAUUGCCCGUGCAUUUGGGACAGAACACUACUCACAGAAGCAUGAAUAUACUUGCACAGACAUUAAAAAUGUAAGCAUCUGUGAAGCUCCUUCCUUCCUUCCUUCCUUCCUUCCUUCCUUCCUUCCUUCCUUCCUUCCUUCCUUCCUUCCUUCCUUCCAGUUUCUACAUAUAGUGCGUAUUCUGUCUGAUUACCAAAAUAUAUAGAAGCCACCCAUUGGCUGCUUAAUCAUAUCUUUUUUUGAUGGUGUGUGUCAGAACAUGUAGCAUUACCAUCAUAUUUGCUAUUUGCUUGUAAUACACUAAUGCAUUAAUCCCUUACCUAAAUGGUCUGUACAGGCACAUAGUAGACUGGAAAGUUUUCUGUGCUAACAAGAGAAGGCAAAAAUAAGUAAUUCAUCAUUGGAGUGAUUCUUCAAACAGGGAUACAUGUAAUAUAGUCAUUUGAGUCAUGCUGGCUCAAGUUCAGCAGGACUGGUAAGGAAUAAGACUAGCUAAAUGUUCUUCAUCUGGACUACAGAUGCUCUUUAAGGGCAUCCCAGGGGACUCUGUCCUUGCAGAUGGAAAGAAGGAAAGAGGGUGCCUUACUUUCUAGUCCACUAUCCAAGAAAGCUGUAAAGAUAAAGGAAGAAGGCAGGAUGGUAAGCA
This 1237-nucleotide long non-coding RNA is filed under the name Coturnix japonica (Japanese quail). RNAcentral's name for it is "lncRNA (ENSCJPG00005016205.1)". Lineage: Eukaryota; Metazoa; Chordata; Aves; Galliformes; Phasianidae. The record is from RNAcentral.